Molecule: ribosomal RNA, 374 nt
Filed under: uncultured Providencia sp.
Lineage: Bacteria; Pseudomonadati; Pseudomonadota; Gammaproteobacteria; Enterobacterales; Morganellaceae
Description: bacterial SSU rRNA
Rfam family: Bacterial small subunit ribosomal RNA
Source: RNAcentral
GGUCGGGAACUCAAAGGAGACUGCCGUUGAUAAAGCGGAGGAAGGUGGGGACGACGUCAAGUCAUCAUGGCCCUUACGACCAGGGCUACACACGUGCUACAAUGGCGUAUACAAAGGGAAGCGAAGGUGCGAGCUCGAGCGGAUCUCAUAAAGUACGUCUAAGUUCGGAUUGGAGUCUGCAACUCGACUCCAUGAAGUCGGAAUCGCUAGUAAUCGUAGAUCAGAAUGCUACGGUGAAUACGUUCCCGGGCCUUGUACACACCGCCCGUCACACCAUGGGAGUGGGUUGCACCAGAAGUAGAUAGCUUAACCGCGGGGGGGGCGUUUACCACGGUGUGAUUCAUGACUGGGGUGAAGUCGUAACAAGGUAACCA